AAGCCCCGGCACCCUUUAGGGUGCGGCCUCAAAUUUGCACUUUGUGGCGCUUUCGCCCAGGGCU
This 64-nucleotide transfer RNA is filed under the name Nactus eboracensis. RNAcentral's name for it is "tRNA-Cys". The record is from RNAcentral. Lineage: Eukaryota; Metazoa; Chordata; Lepidosauria; Squamata; Gekkonidae.